UUGGGAUGCUCUAUAUCAGUU
Molecule: non-coding RNA, 21 nt
Organism: Caenorhabditis elegans
Lineage: Eukaryota; Metazoa; Nematoda; Chromadorea; Rhabditida; Rhabditidae
Source: Ensembl